RNAcentral lists this ribosomal RNA (301 nucleotides) under uncultured bacterium. Its description in RNAcentral is "partial 16S ribosomal RNA". It matches the Rfam family "Bacterial small subunit ribosomal RNA", at positions 509 to 808 of the family's 1533-position model. The record is from RNAcentral.
CAGCAGCCGCGGUAAUACGUAGGUGGCAGGCGUUGUCCGGAAUUAUUGGGCGUAAAGGGCUCGCAGGCGGUUUCUUAAGUCUGAUGUGAAAGCCCCCGGCUCAACCGGGGAGGGUCAUUGGAAACUGGGAAACUUGAGUGCAGAAGAGGAGAGUGGAAUUCCACGUGCAGCGGUGAAAUGCGUAGAGAUGUGGAGGAACACCAGUGGCGAAGGCGACUCUCUGGUCUGUAACUGACGCUGAGGAGCGAAAGCGUGGGGAGCGAACAGGAUUAGAUCCCCCGUAGUCCCUGUCUCUUAUACA